ACGGAGGGUGCAAGCGUUAUCCGGAUUUAUUGGGUUUAAAGGGUGCGUAGGCGGUAGAGUAAGUCAGUGGUGAAAGCCUGUUGCCUAACAACAGAACUGCCAUUGAUACUGCUUUGCUUGAGUAUAGAUGAGGUAGGCGGAAUUAAUAGUGUAGCGGUGAAAUGCUUAGAUAUUAUUAAGAACUCCGAUAGCGAAGGCAGCUUACUAAACUAUAACUGACGCUGAGGCACGAAAGUGUGGGGAUCAAACAGG
This 252-nucleotide ribosomal RNA is filed under the name uncultured bacterium. RNAcentral's name for it is "partial 16S ribosomal RNA". It matches the Rfam family "Bacterial small subunit ribosomal RNA", at positions 525 to 776 of the family's 1533-position model. The record is from RNAcentral.